This 243-nucleotide ribosomal RNA is filed under the name uncultured bacterium. Its description in RNAcentral is "partial 16S ribosomal RNA". It matches the Rfam family "Bacterial small subunit ribosomal RNA", at positions 793 to 1033 of the family's 1533-position model. The record is from RNAcentral.
GUCCACGCCGUAAACGAUGAGUGCUAGAUGUCGGGGGGUUGCCCUUCGGUGUCGCAGCUAACGCGUUAAGCACUCCGCCUGGGGAGUACGGCCGCAAGGCUAAAACUCAAAGAAAUUGACGGGGGCCCGCACAAGCGGUGGAGCAUGUGGUUUAAUUCGAAGCAACGCGCAGAACCUUACCGGCCCUUGACAUGGGAAGUUUGGUUACCGGAGACGGUUUCCUUCAGUUCGGCUGGCUUCCAC